Molecule: transfer RNA, 65 nt
Filed under: Neotrogla sp. 5 KY-2017
Lineage: Eukaryota; Metazoa; Arthropoda; Insecta; Psocodea; Prionoglarididae
Description: tRNA-Leu
Source: RNAcentral
UCUAAUAUGGCAGAAUAGUGCUAUGAAUUUAAGCUUCAUUUAUAAAGAUUUUUCUUUUUUUAGAA